CCUACGGGCGGCAGCAGUGGGGAAUAUUGCACAAUGGAGGAAACCCUGAUGCAGCGACGCCGCGUGAGUGAAGAAGGAAUUCGUUACGUAAAGCUCUAUCAACAGGGAAGAAAAUGACGGUACCUGAGUAAGAAGCCCCGGCUAACUACGGGCCAGCAGCCGCGUAAAUACGUAGGGGGCAAGGGUUAUCCGGAUUUACUGGGUGAAAAGGGAGCGUAGGCGGAUUAUCAAGUCAGCGGAAAAAAUUCGGGGUCAAACCGCGUCGUGCCGUUGAAACUGAUGUUCUUGAGUGGGCGCGAAGUAUGCGGAAUGCGUGGUGUAGCGGUGAAAUGCAUAGAUAUCACGAAGAACUCCGAUUGCGAAGGCAGCAUACCGGCGCCAAACUGACGCUGAAGCACGAAAGCGUGGGUAUCGAACAGGAUUAGAUACCCGGGUAGUC
RNAcentral lists this ribosomal RNA (439 nucleotides) under uncultured bacterium. Its description in RNAcentral is "partial 16S ribosomal RNA". It matches the Rfam family "Bacterial small subunit ribosomal RNA", at positions 338 to 795 of the family's 1533-position model. The record is from RNAcentral.